GGGGGCGCUCGGUUUCGACGGGGUGUCGAAGGUCUGCAGAGCAUGUCAAGGACCAUGACCUUGUAAAAACUUGGAAAAAAAAUAAACGCUAACGACACUCAAGAGUUGGCUCUCGCCGCCUAAUUAGCGCGGCGGCGUCUCCUAAAAAACCCCGCCGUGAGGUGUUUUAGACAGGCGUAAAAAAUUCCGGCUAGUCAAGGCAGACGCCCUUUCUGCUUUGGCAAAACUUUUAGGGGCUUUUCCCGACUUUAGCCGGUUCCGCGGGCAUGGAAGGGAGAGACUUAAACGCGGGGCUAAGCAUGUAGCGCUGUAGAUAAUAGGCAUUGCGGACGGGGGUUCGAUUCCCCCCGCCUCCAUUG
Molecule: transfer-messenger RNA, 359 nt
Filed under: Deferribacteraceae bacterium
Lineage: Bacteria; Pseudomonadati; Deferribacterota; Deferribacteres; Deferribacterales; Deferribacteraceae
Rfam family: transfer-messenger RNA
About the family: Bacterial tmRNA, also known as 10Sa RNA or SsrA, is named for its dual tRNA and mRNA-like properties.
Source: RNAcentral